Molecule: ribosomal RNA, 548 nt
Filed under: uncultured bacterium
Lineage: Bacteria
Description: bacterial SSU rRNA
Rfam family: Bacterial small subunit ribosomal RNA
Source: RNAcentral
AGAGAAUAGAUACCCGGGUAGUCCACGCUGUAAACGAUGGGUACUAGGCUUGGUGGGUCUUGACCCCCGCCGAGCCGGCGCUAAACGCAAAUAAGUACCCCGCCUGGGAAGUACGGUCGCAAGACUAAAACUCAAAGGAAUUGACGGGGGCCCGCACAAGCGGUGGAUCAUGUGGUUUAAUUCGAAGCAACGCGAAGAACCUUACCUGGGUUUGACAUCUCUGGACAUCCGUAGAGAUACGGCUUCGUAGCAAUACGACCAGAAGACAGGUGCUGCAUGGCUGUCGUCAGCUCGUGUGGUGACAUGUUGGGUUAAGUCCCGCAACGAGCGCAACCCUUGUCCUUAGUUGCCAGCAUUCAGUUGGGCACUCUAAGGAGACUGCCGUGGUUAACACGGAGGAAGGUGGGGAUGACGCCAAGUCCUCAUGGCCUUUAUAUCCAGGGCGACACACGUGAUACAAUGGACGGUACAGAGGGAAGCGAACCCGCGAGGGGAGCCAAUCUCAAAAAGCCGUUCUCAGUUCGGAUUGGAGUCUGCAACUCGACUCC